UCCAACAAAAAACUCUCUCAAAUUUAAGUUAUUUUGUAAUAACAUGUGUUGAAGACGACAUUAAUGAAUCUAAAAGUAUUCAAGUCCAUCAUCUACCUUGGCUUAAUGAGGUAGCAAUUGUCGUAAUAAGGUAGCAAUUGAAAGAGAUAGUAUCGAUUCUUUUAUCCCCAUCUGAAGAAGAGAGUUCAAUUUCAAAAGACGUCAUCAGAGAUCGAGGAAAGCAAUAAGGGAAUCAGAGGUUCGAAUUUUGCUAUGGACCAUGAGGUAAAAAAGUUUGUUUGUAGCAGAGAAAUGAUAAAUUCUUAUACCUACAACCGACGAUCUCAGAAAGAGCAUGCGGGUGUUCAGUGACAACACGAAGAACGUCUUAGAAGUGGAAUUCAACGGAGAAAGCAAAGAGGGGAGAGAAAGAUUUUGCCGCCGAAAAAGAAUAGUGACCGGAGCGUGAAAUGGGUUAAAAUGAUGAUGGAUUGGAGUUUUAUCUAAUGCUACAAUUAAAAGGAUAAAAAAAAUAAUCAUAUCAUUUAAUUAGAGAGUGAGAUGUACUAUUUGAGGCUGAGAACAUAAUUGAUGUAAAAGUGUGUAUUUAUUAUGGUUAGGACUAGUUUCAUGGUGUAAUAGAACCUCAUAAAUUUUAG
Molecule: long non-coding RNA, 638 nt
Filed under: Capsicum annuum
Lineage: Eukaryota; Viridiplantae; Streptophyta; Magnoliopsida; Solanales; Solanaceae
Description: long non-coding RNA (CANN_LNC009650)
Source: RNAcentral